GAACGCACAUUGCGCCCGCCAGCAUUCUGGCGGGCAUGCCUGUUCGAGCGUCAUUUCAACCCUCAAGCUCUGCUUGGUGUUGGGGCCCUACGGUUGACGUAGGCCCUUAAAGGUAGUGGCGGACCCUCUCGGAGCCUCCUUUGCGUAGUAACUAACGUCUCGCAUUGGGAUUCGGAGGGACUCUUGCCGUAAAACCCCCAAAUUUUCUAAUGGUUGACCUCGGAUCAGGUAGGAAUACCCGCUGAACUUA
RNAcentral lists this unclassified non-coding RNA (250 nucleotides) under Colletotrichum coccodes. Its description in RNAcentral is "sequence contains 5.8S rRNA gene". The stretch from base 1 to 53 matches the Rfam family "5.8S ribosomal RNA", at positions 102 to 154 of the family's 154-position model. Lineage: Eukaryota; Fungi; Ascomycota; Sordariomycetes; Glomerellales; Glomerellaceae. The record is from RNAcentral.